ACKGCUCAGUAACACGUGGCUAACCUACCCUCGAGACAGGGUCAACCCCGGGAAACUGGGGCUAAUCCCAGAUAGAUGAAGACCCCUGGAAUGGGUCCUCGUCUAAAAGGCAUCAUGGUUAUGCUCUGUGAUGUCGCUCAAGGAUGGGGCCGCGUCCGAUCAGGCUGUUGGUGAGGUAAUGGCUCACCAAACCUAUAACCGGUACGGGCCGUGGGAGCGGGAGCCCGGAGAUGGGCACUGAGACAAGGGCCCAGGCCCUACGGGGCGCAGCAGUCGCGAAAACUUUGCAAUACACGAAAGUGUGACAGGGCUAUCCCGAGUGCCAUCCGCUGAGGAAGGCUUUUACCCAGUCUAGGAAGCUGGGGGAAUAAGGAGAGGGCAAGUCUGGUGUCAGCCGCCGCGGUAGUACCAGCUCUCCGAGUGGUGUGGAUGUUUAUUGGGCCUAAAGCAUCCGUAGCUGGCUAAGUUAGUCCCUUGUUAAAUCCACCGAAUUAAUCGUUGGAUCGCGGGGGAUACUGCUUGGCUAGGGGACGAGAGAGGCAGACGGUAUUUUCGGGGUAGGGGUGAAAUCCUAUAAUCCCGGGAAGACCACCAGUGGCGAAGGCUGUCUGCUAGAACGCGCCCGACGGUGAGGGAUGAAAGCUGGGGGAGCGAACCGGAUUAGAUACCCGGGUAGUCCCAGCUGUAAACGGUGCAGGCUAGGUGUUUGGACGGCCACGUGCCGUUCUAGUGCCGCAGGGAAGCUGUUAAGCCUGCCGCCUGGGGAGUACGAUCGCAAGAUUGAAACUUAAAGGAAUUGGCGGGGGAGCAC
Molecule: ribosomal RNA, 811 nt
Filed under: uncultured Thermoproteales archaeon
Lineage: Archaea; Thermoproteati; Thermoproteota; Thermoprotei; Thermoproteales
Description: bacterial SSU rRNA
Rfam family: Archaeal small subunit ribosomal RNA
Source: RNAcentral